UACGUAGGGUGCAGGCGUUAAUCGGAAUUACUGGGCGUAAAGCGUGCGUAGGUGGUUUGUUAAGUCUGUUGUGAAAGCCCCGGGCUCAACCUGGGAAUGGCAAUGGAUACUGGCAGGCUAGAGUGCGGUAGAGGGUAGUGGAAUUCCCGGUGUAGCGGUGAAAUGCGUAAAGAUCGGGAGGAACACCAGUGGCGAAGGCGGCUACCUGGACCAGCACUGACACUGAGGCACGAAAGCGUGGGGAGCAAACAGG
Molecule: ribosomal RNA, 253 nt
Filed under: uncultured bacterium
Lineage: Bacteria
Description: partial 16S ribosomal RNA
Rfam family: Bacterial small subunit ribosomal RNA
Source: RNAcentral